CAAAAAAAUGACUUAGGCACUUAUGCUAUGAAGCUAACGAUAUACUCGUGCAACUCUAUUAGCACCAACCAACUAGUGACAUUUUGCACAACACAUAGAUCAUGAUAGUUAUCACGGGGAAAGUUAUCUAUAGAUACCAACAUGUUUGUGUAUGACACACAUGAAGACCUUUCAGCACAUAGUGAGAGUGGCAACUUGCACAAAAAAAAUGACUUACAAAACUAAAACAAAACCUAGAAACCCUUGUCCCUAACUUUUAAUAACUUCUAUUUCUCUCUUCCAAUCUCAAGCAUCGGAUGAUAGACAAGCUUUAGAAUUCGUACUCAAGUGGUUGAAACGCAAAGAAGAAGAGGAAAAGCAAGCACAGAAAAAAGCAGAAGGACAACAUGAGAUCAUCACCACAAGUGGAGAUAACAAAACAUAUUAUUGAGUCUGGAAGUGACGACACAGUUUGGAACAAAAUGAAGAGGGUGGAACAAUGUUAAUCCUGCCAUUUAUGAUUUGAUCAUAUAUUACUGAUAUCUCUGUUUGUAAUGAUGCACUUUGAUUACAAGGACUGUCCUUCACGGACUUACUAAGGCAGUUUUAACAUUUAUACAGGAUUUCUCUGCUCAGUAGAUUGAUUCAGUGCUGUUAUUAUAAAAUGUAUACUUUUAUUUUAUGUCCCAGAUUAACUGUCUCCCACAUCACUCUGUCCUCCUCCUCUUUGACCCUUGUUCCUUCAUUCUUUGUAAAGCUUCUUCAUGUUUGUCCUUUCAGUCCGAUUUUGUAAAUUAAGAGAACAAAAUUACACAAAAUAACUUUGACUAAAUUCUGUUUCUCUUCUUCGGUUUCAGAAUUUUUGACCGUUGUUCCUUCAUUCUUUGUAAAGCUUCUUCGUAUUUCUCCUUUCAGUCUCAAAAUUACACAAAGUAACUUUUAUUAAACCCUGUUUCUCUCCUCCAUCACUGAGGAAAACUGGGGUUCUGUGUUUUCUCUGAGUUUAACAUGUCUACACAGCUAAUGGUUUAAAUGUGGCAGUGGCUGAAGAUUUCUCUUGAGUCUAUCAUGUCGAUUCGGAGUUCAAACAGACAGAAAGCAGGUUGUUGGAACCAUAUUAUGAGAUGUGUGAACAUAAACCUUUAGUUCAUGAAAUACUGAUAUGAAAUAUUGUGUAAUCAAUCCCAGACUGUGGUGUGAAUAAGCUACACUGUAGUGAAGCAGAGUUUAGGUUCAGGAGGUCUGCACUAAGUGAGACUACGAUGAACAUCCAGUGAGUUUAACACAGUCUGUAACACUUCCUCUAUUUAACAGAAGUUUAUUCAUUUAUUACACAUGGAAAUAAAAACAUCCAUAGUUGUACUUUACUGUACCUUAGCACACCUAUCCCCCAGGUAAGGGUAAGAUCUACAAAUGAACAGCUAAUGCAAACAAACAUUACAGUUUGACAACCAAGAGACUUAAAAGUCAACCAAUAAAAAGUACUAACACCAAA
Molecule: long non-coding RNA, 1474 nt
Organism: Pundamilia nyererei
Lineage: Eukaryota; Metazoa; Chordata; Actinopteri; Cichliformes; Cichlidae
Exons: 4
Source: RefSeq, a predicted model, not a curated record